RNAcentral lists this small RNA (83 nucleotides) under Escherichia coli. Its description in RNAcentral is "partial RtT sRNA". It matches the Rfam family "RtT RNA", at positions 50 to 130 of the family's 130-position model. Rfam says of the family: This family represents a bacterial cis-regulatory element known as RtT RNA. The exact function of RtT is unknown although it is thought that it may be involved in changing the cellular response in relation to amino acid starvation. The record is from RNAcentral. Lineage: Bacteria; Pseudomonadati; Pseudomonadota; Gammaproteobacteria; Enterobacterales; Enterobacteriaceae.
GAGCACCAGCGAGAGAGCGUUGCCGCAGGCAACGACCCGAAGGGCGAAGCGCGCAGCGCUGAGUAAUCCUUCCCCCACCACCA